Molecule: ribosomal RNA, 506 nt
Filed under: uncultured bacterium
Lineage: Bacteria
Description: partial 16S ribosomal RNA
Rfam family: Bacterial small subunit ribosomal RNA
Source: RNAcentral
AUUGAACGCUGGCGGCAGGCCUAACACAUGCAAGUCGGACGGUAGCACAGAGGAGCUUGCUCCUCGGGUGACGAGUGGCGGACGGGUGAGUAAUGUCUGGGGAUCUGCCCGAUAGCGGGGGAUAACCACUGGAAACGGUGGCUAAUACCGCAUAACGUCGCAAGACCAAAGAGGGGGACCUUCGGGCCUCUCACUAUCGGAUGAACCCAGAUGGGAUUAGCUAGUAGGCGGGGUAACGGCCCACCUAGGCGACGAUCCCUAGCUGGUCUGAGAGGAUGACCAGCCACACUGGAACUGGGACACGGUCCAGACUCCUACGGGAGGCAGCAGUGGGGAAUAUUGCACAAUGGGCGCAAGCCUGAUGCAGCCAUGCCGCGUGUAUGAAGAAGGCCUUCGGGUUGUAAAGUACUUUCAGCGGGGAGGAAGGCGACGCGGUUAAUAACCGCGUCGAUUGACGUUACCCGCAGAAGAAGCACCGGCUAACUCCGUGCCAGCCGCCGCCGUAA